Molecule: ribosomal RNA, 491 nt
Filed under: marine proteobacterium 'Bird Shoal sa2'
Lineage: Bacteria; Pseudomonadati; Pseudomonadota; Gammaproteobacteria; Vibrionales; Vibrionaceae
Description: bacterial SSU rRNA
Rfam family: Bacterial small subunit ribosomal RNA
Source: RNAcentral
AUUGAACGCUGGCGGCAGGCCUAACACAUGCAAGUCGAGCGGCAGCACAGAGAAACUUGUUUCUCGGGUGGCGAGCGGCGGACGGGUGAGUAAUGCCUGGGAAAUUGCCCUGAUGUGGGGGAUAACCAUUGGAAACGAUGGCUAAUACCGCAUAAUAGCUUCGGCUCAAAGAGGGGGACCUUCGGGCCUCUCGCGUCAGGAUAUGCCCAGGUGGGAUAAGCUAGUUGGUGAGGUAAUGGCUCACCAAGGCGACGAUCCCUAGCUGGUCUGAGAGGAUGAUCAGCCACACUGGAACUGAGACACGGUCCAGACUCCUACGGGAGGCAGCAGUGGGGAAUAUUGCACAAUGGGCGCAAGCCUGAUGCAGCCAUGCCGCGUGUGUGAAGAAGGCCUUCGGGUUGUAAAGCACUUUCAGUCGUGAGGAAGGCAGUAUAGUUAAUAGCUAUAUUGUUUGACGUUAGCGACAGAAGAAGCACCGGCUAACUCCGUGC